Populus euphratica (Euphrates poplar) is the source of this 545-nucleotide long non-coding RNA. RefSeq lists it as uncharacterized. Lineage: Eukaryota; Viridiplantae; Streptophyta; Magnoliopsida; Malpighiales; Salicaceae. The record is from RefSeq and is a predicted model, not a curated record. The transcript is spliced from 4 exons.
CGAGUGAGCUUAUAAACAUACACACGGUAAAAUAAUUAUCUCAUCUACUGUAAAAAUAAUUGCCCCUUCUGUUUUUCUACCCGAAACGGCUUGCCAUGCGCCUGAUGUUGUAGAUCCGCUCAAUAUAAAGAGCCGAUUUCUGUGAGAGGCAAAAGAACAAGGGGAUAAGAAAUUACUUGGACAAAAAGGAGACGGUUGUGCAAUAAAGAGAAUGGAUAAUCCAUAAACUAUUGAUAAAGCUGCAUGGAAUAAAGAAAUGUUGCAUGUCUUUUGUGACCUUUGCAUCAAGGCCAUCGAUAUGAGAAUGAGAUCGAAUACUCAUUUCGACAAGGCCGGUUGGAAAUAUUUGCAAACAUCUUUCAAAGAAAUAACUGAUCACGCAUUCACAAAGACACAAUUGAAGAACAAAUGGGAUGACUGCAAAAAGGAUUGGAGGAUAUGAACGAAGUUCAUUUCAGAAACUGGUGUGGGCUGGAGUGCAGAAUUAGGGACAAUUUCUGCAAGUCAUGAGUGGUGGAAAAUAAAAAUUCAGGAAAUAAGAGGCG